This 2915-nucleotide ribosomal RNA is filed under the name Klebsiella pneumoniae. Its description in RNAcentral is "bacterial LSU rRNA". It matches the Rfam family "Bacterial large subunit ribosomal RNA". The record is from RNAcentral. Lineage: Bacteria; Pseudomonadati; Pseudomonadota; Gammaproteobacteria; Enterobacterales; Enterobacteriaceae.
UGUGAGGUUAAGCGACUAAGCGUACACGGUGGAUGCCCUGGCAGUCAGAGGCGAUGAAGGACGUGCUAAUCUGCGAAAAGCGUCGGUAAGGUGAUAUGAACCGUUAUAACCGGCGAUGUCCGAAUGGGGAAACCCAGUGCAAUUCGUUGCACUAUCGUUAACUGAAUACAUAGGUUAACGAGGCGAACCGGGGGAACUGAAACAUCUAAGUACCCCGAGGAAAGAAAUCAACCGAGAUUCCCCCAGUAGCGGCGAGCGAACGGGGAGCAGCCCAGAGUCUGAAUCAGCUUGUGUUAGUGGAACGGUCUGGAAAGUCCGACGGUACAGGGUGAUAGUCCCGUACACCAAAAUGCACAGGCUGUGAACUCGAAGAGUAGGGCGGGACACGUGGUAUCCUGUCUGAAUAUGGGGGACCAUCCUCCAAGGCUAAAUACUCCUGACUGACCGAUAGUGAACCAGUACCGUGAGGGAAAGGCGAAAAGAACCCCGGCGAGGGGAGUGAAAAAGAACCUGAAACCGUGUACGUACAAGCAGUGGGAGCACCUUCGGGUGUGACUGCGUACCUUUUGUAUAAUGGGUCAGCGACUUAUAUUCUGUAGCAAGGUUAACCGUAUAGGGGAGCCGCAGGGAAACCGAGUCUUAACUGGGCGUUAAGUUGCAGGGUAUAGACCCGAAACCCGGUGAUCUAGCCAUGGGCAGGUUGAAGGUUGGGUAACACUAACUGGAGGACCGAACCGACUAAUGUUGAAAAAUUAGCGGAUGACUUGUGGCUGGGGGUGAAAGGCCAAUCAAACCGGGAGAUAGCUGGUUCUCCCCGAAAGCUAUUUAGGUAGCGCCUCGUGAAUUCAUCUUCGGGGGUAGAGCACUGUUUCGGCUAGGGGGUCAUCCCGACUUACCAACCCGAUGCAAACUACGAAUACCGAAGAAUGUUAUCACGGGAGACACACGGCGGGUGCUAACGUCCGUCGUGAAGAGGGAAACAACCCAGACCGCCAGCUAAGGUCCCAAAGUCAUGGUUAAGUGGGAAACGAUGUGGGAAGGCACAGACAGCCAGGAUGUUGGCUUAGAAGCAGCCAUCAUUUAAAGAAAGCGUAAUAGCUCACUGGUCGAGUCGGCCUGCGCGGAAGAUGUAACGGGGCUAAACCAUGCACCGAAGCUGCGGCAGCGACACUAUGUGUUGUUGGGUAGGGGAGCGUUCUGUAAGCCUGCGAAGGUGACCUGUGAGGGUUGCUGGAGGUAUCAGAAGUGCGAAUGCUGACAUAAGUAACGAUAAAGCGGGUGAAAAGCCCGCUCGCCGGAAGACCAAGGGUUCCUGUCCAACGUUAAUCGGGGCAGGGUGAGUCGACCCCUAAGGCGAGGCCGAAAGGCGUAGUCGAUGGGAAACAGGUUAAUAUUCCUGUACUUGGUGUUACUGCGAAGGGGGGACGGAGAAGGCUAUGUUAGCCGGGCGACGGUUGUCCCGGUUUAAGCAUGUAGGCUGGUUAUCCAGGCAAAUCCGGAUAAUCAAGGCUGAGGUGUGAUGACGAGGCACUACGGUGCUGAAGUAACAAAUGCCCUGCUUCCAGGAAAAGCCUCUAAGCAUCAGGUAACAUCAAAUCGUACCCCAAACCGACACAGGUGGUCAGGUAGAGAAUACCAAGGCGCUUGAGAGAACUCGGGUGAAGGAACUAGGCAAAAUGGUGCCGUAACUUCGGGAGAAGGCACGCUGGUGUGUAGGUGAAGUCCCUGCGGAUGGAGCUGAGACCAGUCGAAGAUACCAGCUGGCUGCAACUGUUUAUUAAAAACACAGCACUGUGCAAACACGAAAGUGGACGUAUACGGUGUGACGCCUGCCCGGUGCCGGAAGGUUAAUUGAUGGGGUUAUCCGUAAGGAGAAGCUCUUGAUCGAAGCCCCGGUAAACGGCGGCCGUAACUAUAACGGUCCUAAGGUAGCGAAAUUCCUUGUCGGGUAAGUUCCGACCUGCACGAAUGGCGUAAUGAUGGCCAGGCUGUCUCCACCCGAGACUCAGUGAAAUUGAACUCGCUGUGAAGAUGCAGUGUACCCGCGGCAAGACGGAAAGACCCCGUGAACCUUUACUAUAGCUUGACACUGAACAUUGAGCCUUGAUGUGUAGGAUAGGUGGGAGGCUUUGAAGCGUGGACGCCAGUCUGCGUGGAGCCAACCUUGAAAUACCACCCUUUAAUGUUUGAUGUUCUAACGUUGGCCCCUUACCGGGGUUGCGGACAGUGUCUGGUGGGUAGUUUGACUGGGGCGGUCUCCUCCCAAAGCGUAACGGAGGAGCACGAAGGUUAGCUAAUCCUGGUCGGACAUCAGGAGGUUAGUGCAAUGGCAUAAGCUAGCUUGACUGCGAGCGUGACGGCGCGAGCAGGUGCGAAAGCAGGUCAUAGUGAUCCGGUGGUUCUGAAUGGAAGGGCCAUCGCUCAACGGAUAAAAGGUACUCCGGGGAUAACAGGCUGAUACCGCCCAAGAGUUCAUAUCGACGGCGGUGUUUGGCACCUCGAUGUCGGCUCAUCACAUCCUGGGGCUGAAGUAGGUCCCAAGGGUAUGGCUGUUCGCCAUUUAAAGUGGUACGCGAGCUGGGUUUAGAACGUCGUGAGACAGUUCGGUCCCUAUCUGCCGUGGGCGCUGGAGAAUUGAGGGGGGCUGCUCCUAGUACGAGAGGACCGGAGUGGACGCAUCACUGGUGUUCGGGUUGUCAUGCCAAUGGCACUGCCCGGUAGCUAAAUGCGGAAGAGAUAAGUGCUGAAAGCAUCUAAGCACGAAACUUGCCCCGAGAUGAGUUCUCCCUGAGACUUUAAGUCUCCUGAAGGAACGUUAAAGACGAUGACGUUGAUAGGCCGGGUGUGUAAGCGCAGCGAUGCGUUGAGCUAACCGGUACUAAUGAACCGUGAGGCUUAACCUUACAACGCCGAAG